UGAACCCUAAUAUGCGAUUGUAAAUGAAUCGUCUGCAACGUGAAGAUGACUCUCAUCUUCCCCCUAACCUGUUUUCAAUUCUUACCUCAAUCGACCAGAUCUGAGAUGGAUAGAUUGUUUAAAAAAUCUAUACAUCUACACAUACGAGAGAGAGGGAGAGACAAGAUCCAGGGGAGAUGAUGACACGAUUCAAUGGCGGUUGAAGAAGAUCCAACGGUGGCGAUGGUGGUUUCAAGGUCAAAGCUUUGUUUUCAGGUGAUCCUGCUACUACAAUGAAGAUGAUGUCGAAAUUAGUGGCUGAAGAUUCCGAGCUGAUGCCUUCAAAACGGUUCAAGGAAGCUGAUGGGUUGCAUGAAAUAUAACAGUAUUGAUUUCAGUAAAGAGGAAGCUGGGAAACUAAUUUGACGUAAUUUGUUAAAAGAUGUAGCUUUUGGUGUUUUUUGUGCAGAAUAUUAAGGUAUGAUACAGAUACACUACAUCUUAUACAUAUUGCUCUGCUAUUUUGUAAAUUCUCAGUGUCUCCAUUUAGUUUAUGAGAUUGUUAGUUGAGUUUAUAUGUAUAUAUGUAAUAUUGGGUUUAAAACUCUUCAUUUUCUUGAGUUUGCUACAUAUGUAAAGGCGUCAAACCUCAGAGAUACACUUGAAAUCCAUGAAGGGAGUAUAAAUCCAUCAAAUGGUACCUGCAUUGCACUCGGUUUGGGUUAGAUUUGACUCCUAGGGUUCCGGUCGAGACUUCCAGAGAUUUCGACAUCUUUUCUGUUGUGAGAGCGUUAGUUGAGUCGAGAGUCAAUCUCAAGACGAGCGAGUCGAUUUUACUUAAGUUCGAAGGGAUCACCAGGUCUGGUAGUUAUUUUUCUCUAGCCAAUGCAACAAGGGUUGUAGCUGAAGUAGUCGUGGCGGCAACAAAUGCAGCCGCCGAGCCUGCUAGGCUUAUAAGGUCAUCUAAAGAGCUUGAAGGGACAAUUCGAACCACAUCAGAAUGAGCCAACUGGAAUGUAUAAACCUUUGGUGCCUAAUGACAAAAUGCUAGAAAUUGACACGUGGCCAUGAUGGCAUAAUGGGUCUUGCCAAAGCUCUCAUCCCCUAACUAAGCUUUUCAGGAGCAUGGUACUAUCAUGUGACGGUGAACAUAGGGAAUCCACCGAAACCUUAUUGGCUGGACAUUGACACUGGCAGUGAUCUCACUUGGCUUCAAUAUCAUGUGACGGUGAACAUAGGGAAUCCACCGAAACCUUCUCGGUAUAACAUGUAGAUGAAGGUCAUGUAUUAUCUUGGGGUUAUGGUGGACAUGGACAGUUGGGACACUUUUCUACGCAAAACCAGCCCGUUCCCACAGUUAUUGAGUCUCUAGCUUCGGAGAAAGUUGUUUAUAUUGCUUGUGGAGGAUCUUCAUCAGCUGCUAUAACUGGUGAAGAUGGACCUAACCCGGAUGGCGAUCAAGCAAAUACCAAGAACCAAACGCACUAAAUGAAGCUUCCGCAUUUUGUCUAUUUUGUUUUACAAAUAUGUAAACGCUUGAAACUAAGUUUUAAAGGUUAUCUAGUAGUAUGAUGACUUGAAUAUUAUGACCUUGUAAGGUUUUAAAACCAUGAAAGUUUUAUUUUU
Molecule: long non-coding RNA, 1605 nt
Filed under: Helianthus annuus (common sunflower)
Lineage: Eukaryota; Viridiplantae; Streptophyta; Magnoliopsida; Asterales; Asteraceae
Description: hypothetical non coding rna
Source: RNAcentral